This 23-nucleotide small nuclear RNA is filed under the name Arabidopsis thaliana (thale cress). RNAcentral describes it as "snRNA_14469". The record is from RNAcentral. Lineage: Eukaryota; Viridiplantae; Streptophyta; Magnoliopsida; Brassicales; Brassicaceae.
AAAUACAGUUACGGUUAUUAGAU